This 350-nucleotide ribosomal RNA is filed under the name uncultured bacterium. RNAcentral's name for it is "bacterial SSU rRNA". It matches the Rfam family "Bacterial small subunit ribosomal RNA", at positions 72 to 422 of the family's 1533-position model. The record is from RNAcentral.
AGGCCCCUUCGGGGGUACACGAGUGGCGAACGGGUGAGUAACACGUGAGCAACCUGCCCUUGACUCUGGGAUAACAGUUGGAAACAGCUGCUAAUACCGGAUACGACCCUGGAUGACAUCGUCCGGGGUGGAAAGCGCUUUAGCGGUCAAGGAUGGGCUCGCGGCCUAUCAGCUUGUUGGUGAGGUAACGGCUCACCAAGGCUUCGACGGGUAGCCGGCCUGAGAGGGCGACCGGCCACACUGGGACUGAGAUACGGCCCAGACUCCUACGGGAGGCAGCAGUGGGGAAUAUUGCACAAUGGGCGCAAGCCUGAUGCAGCAACGCCGCGUGCGGGAUGACGGCCUUCGGG